AACGAACGCUGGCGGCGCGUCUUAAACAUGCAAGUCGAACGAUCUGUAGCAAUACAGGGAGUGGCGGACGGGUGAGGAACACGUAGGAAUCUACCUUGAAGAGCGGACAACUUUGGGAAACCGGGGCUAAUACCGCAUAGUACAGAGAUGUUAAAGGGCUAGCAAUAGUCGCUUCGAGAUGAGCCUGCGGUCUAUCAGCUUGUUGGUGAGGUAAUGGCUCACCAAGGCUACGACGGAUAGCCGGUCUGAGAGGAUGAUCGGCCACACUGGCACUGAGACACGGGCCAGACUCCUACGGGAGGCAGCAGUUAAGAAUCUUGCGCAAUGGGGGAAACCCUGACGCAGCGACGCCGCGUGAAGGAUGAAGGCUUUCGGG
This 376-nucleotide ribosomal RNA is filed under the name uncultured bacterium. RNAcentral's name for it is "bacterial SSU rRNA". It matches the Rfam family "Bacterial small subunit ribosomal RNA", at positions 29 to 422 of the family's 1533-position model. The record is from RNAcentral.